GGCGAAUUUAAGCUGUCCCCAACUGGCGACAUUUCUCUCCCAUCUACGACAAAUCUAACUGUUCUUCCCUACGUUUUUCAUUUCAUUAUUAUUGAAGAACCUUUCGAAUCAUUUAGAUCUGACUUGAUCGAAGUUUCUAGAUCCAUUUCGGUGUUGCAGCCAUGCCUGUGGCAGCUUCAGCUGUUUACUUCCUCAAUCUCCGUGGCGAUGUCCUCAUCAAUCGUCUAUACCGUGACGACGUCGGGGGUAAUAUGGUAGAUGCCUUUCGGAUGCAUAUAAUGCAGACAAAAGAACUCGGGACAUGUCCU
Molecule: unclassified non-coding RNA, 308 nt
Filed under: Hevea brasiliensis (rubber tree)
Lineage: Eukaryota; Viridiplantae; Streptophyta; Magnoliopsida; Malpighiales; Euphorbiaceae
Source: RNAcentral